CCUACGGGUGGCUGCAGUGGGGAAUAUUGGACAAUGGGGGCAACCCUGAUCCAGCAAUGCCGCGUGUGUGAAGAAGGCCUGCGGGUUGUAAAGCACUUUCAGUAGGGAAGAAAAGCUCGGGGCUAAUACCUCCGGGUCUUGACGUUACCUAAAGAAGAAGCACCGGCUAACUCCGUGCCAGCAGCCGCGGUCAUACGGAGGGUGCGAGUGUUAAUCGGACUUACUGGGCGUAAAGCGCACGUAGGAGGUUAAAGCCCGGGGCUUAACCUGGGAACUGCAUUCGAUACUGCCAGGCUAGAGUAUGGGAGAGGGAAGCGGAAUGUCAGGUGUAGCGGUGAAAUGCGUAGAUAUCGGAAGGAACACCAAUGGCGAAGGCAGCUUCCUGGCCCAAUACUGACGCUGAGGUGCGAAAGCGUGGGGAUCAAACAGGAUUAGAUACCCUUGUAGUC
Molecule: ribosomal RNA, 449 nt
Filed under: uncultured bacterium
Lineage: Bacteria
Description: partial 16S ribosomal RNA
Rfam family: Bacterial small subunit ribosomal RNA
Source: RNAcentral